AGAUUGAACGCUGGCGGCAUGCCUAACACAUGCAAGUCGAACGGGAGUAGCAAUACUCUAGUGGCGGACGGGUGAGGAAUACGUAGGAAUUUGCCCUUAAGUGGGGGAUAACCCGGGAAACCCGGAUUAAUACCGCAUGACCUCGAAAGAGCAAAGUGGGGGAUCACAAGACCUCACGCUUUUGGAGAAGCCUACGUCGGAUUAGCUAGUUGGUGAGGUAAUGGCUCACCAAGGCGACGAUCCGUAACUGGUCUGAGAGGAUGAUCAGUCACACCGGAACUGAGACACGGUCCGACUCCGUACGGGAGGCGGCAGGUGGGGAAUAGUUGGACAAGUGGGCGCGAAGCCUGAUCCAAGCAAGUGACCGCGUGUAG
This 374-nucleotide ribosomal RNA is filed under the name uncultured soil bacterium. RNAcentral describes it as "bacterial SSU rRNA". It matches the Rfam family "Bacterial small subunit ribosomal RNA", at positions 26 to 406 of the family's 1533-position model. The record is from RNAcentral.